GGUUGUGAGGCUGAUCUGUGAUGUUUGUCAUCCCAUUGCUCGUGAGGGUUGAUUUGAUGGGCCUGGCUGGCUGGAGUUCGCUUUCUUCCCCACAUUUCAGGGAGCAUCCCUCCCAAAUUGGGUCAUCUCUGAAAGUAUGACACUUUCACUGAGAGGCAGCUGUCCUUUGGUCAAAUGUAAAGGUAGCCACGCUUUUCUUUUUAAGACCUCAGUUCAGUUCAGUUCACUUGCUCAGUUGUGUCUGACU
RNAcentral lists this small RNA (247 nucleotides) under Capra hircus (goat). RNAcentral describes it as "7SK RNA (ENSCHIG00000002529.1)". It matches the Rfam family "7SK RNA". From Rfam's summary of the family: 7SK was discovered as an abundant small nuclear RNA in the mid-70s but a possible function has only recently been suggested. The record is from Rfam by way of RNAcentral. Lineage: Eukaryota; Metazoa; Chordata; Mammalia; Artiodactyla; Bovidae.